CCCUUAGAUGUUCUGGGCUGCACGCGCGCUACAAUGAUAUAGAGAAAAAGUAUGGUUCGGUUUUGGCAAAAACUGGUAAUCAGGAGUUGCUAUCGUAGCUGGAAUCGACAAUUGCAAUUAUUGGUCGUCAACGAGGAAUUCCUAGUAAACGCAAGUCAUCAACUUGCAUUGAUUACGUCCCUGCCCUUUGUACACACCGCCCGUCGCACCUACCGAUUGAAUGGUCCGGUGAAGCCUCCGGAUUGGCGCGCACCUCGGUGCCGCCGAGAAGUUGGCUAAACCUUACCAUUUAGAGGAAGGUGAAGUCGUAACA
This 313-nucleotide ribosomal RNA is filed under the name uncultured eukaryote. RNAcentral describes it as "partial 18S ribosomal RNA". It matches the Rfam family "Eukaryotic small subunit ribosomal RNA", at positions 1470 to 1796 of the family's 1831-position model. The record is from RNAcentral.